RNAcentral lists this ribosomal RNA (305 nucleotides) under uncultured bacterium. Its description in RNAcentral is "bacterial SSU rRNA". It matches the Rfam family "Bacterial small subunit ribosomal RNA", at positions 338 to 659 of the family's 1533-position model. The record is from RNAcentral.
CCUACGGGGGGCAGCAGUGGGGAAUAUUGCACAAUGGGCGAAAGCCUGAUGCAGCAACGCCGCGUGAAGGAAGACGGUUUUCGGAUUGUAAACUUCUGUUCUUAGUGAAGAAUAAUGACGGUAACUAAGGAGCAAGCCACGGCUAACUACGUGCCAGCAGCCGCGGUAAUACGUAGGGGGCAAGCGUUAUCCGGAUUUACUGGGUGUAAAGGGAGCGUAGACGGCAGCACAAGUCUGGAGUGAAAUCCCGGGGCUUAACCCCGGAACUGCUUUGGAAACUGUGCGGCUGGAGUGCAGGAGGGGUA